CAGGAAUCUGUUGCUGCGUAUGACAUCUCUUGCAAGCUCCCAGAGAGAAUUGAUGGAGCAUACAGCUAGGGAAUAGGAUGCCAGAGAAGCACAGAGGAAGAAUCCAGGCAAUCACCAGGAUGGGAAGGUUCAGCGUCCACUGGAUAUGGGACAAGACCGCUUGGCAACCCUUGUGGAUUCUCCUUCUUCUAGAGGCGAAUUAUAGUUAUGGAUUUAUUGUCCCGGUGCAGCACUUCUACCAGCAACAGCAGCAGCUUUCUGACUCUCUUCGGUGACGGGUAUUCUUGGGUGGAUAAUACGGAUUACGUUGUUAUUGCUUAAGAAUACGCGUAGUCGAGGAGAGUACCGGCGGCGGGCAGGCAGGCAGGCAGCGCGACCGCCCCCAGCCCACCAGCUGGCUCCUCACCUCCUCUAGUUGCCAAGCCUCAGAGAUGUUUUUGUCUGUGUGUGUUCCUCACCCCUGGGCGCUCGUGCAAGCAGCCUUGCCUACCCGCACUGCCUCGGAAGAUGCCAGCCUGUC
Ficedula albicollis (Collared flycatcher) is the source of this 520-nucleotide long non-coding RNA. RefSeq lists it as uncharacterized. NCBI's taxonomy places the organism in Eukaryota, Metazoa, Chordata, Aves, Passeriformes, Muscicapidae. The record is from RefSeq and is a predicted model, not a curated record. The transcript is spliced from 3 exons.